RNAcentral lists this ribosomal RNA (253 nucleotides) under uncultured bacterium. RNAcentral's name for it is "partial 16S ribosomal RNA". It matches the Rfam family "Bacterial small subunit ribosomal RNA", at positions 524 to 776 of the family's 1533-position model. The record is from RNAcentral.
UACAGAGGUCUCAAGUGUUGUUCGGAUUCAUUGGGCGUAAAGGGUGUGUAGGUGGCGCGCUAAGUCGGGUGUGAAAUUUCGGAGCUUAACUCCGAAACUGCAUUCGAUACUGGCGUGCUUGAGGACUGGAGAGGAGACUGGAAUUUACGGUGUAGCAGUGAAAUGCGUAGAGAUCGUAAGGAAGACCAGUGGCGAAGGCGGGUCUCUGGACAGUUCCUGACACUGAGGCACGAAGGCCAGGGGAGCAAACGGG